GAUGAAGAACGUAGCGAAAUGCGAUACGUAAUGUGAAUUGCAAAUUCAGUGAAUCAUCGAGUCUUUGAACGCACAUUGCGCCCCCUGGUAUUUCGGGGGGCAUGCCUGUCCGAGCGUCAUUGCUGCCCUCAAGCACGGCUUGUGUGUUGGGCCCCGUCCUCCGAUCCCGGGGGACGGGCCCGAAAGGCAGCGGCGGCACCGCGUCCGGUCCUCAAGCGUAUGGGGCUUUGUCACCCGCUCUGUAGGCCCGGCCGGCGCUUGCCGAUCAACCCAAAUUUUUAUCCAGGUUGACCUCGGAUCAGGUAGGGAUACCCGCUGAACUUAAGCAUAUCAAUAAGCGGAGGA
Molecule: unclassified non-coding RNA, 345 nt
Filed under: soil metagenome
Description: partial contains 5.8S ribosomal RNA, internal transcribed spacer 2, and large subunit ribosomal RNA
Rfam family: 5.8S ribosomal RNA (bases 1-119)
Source: RNAcentral